Molecule: ribosomal RNA, 292 nt
Filed under: uncultured bacterium
Lineage: Bacteria
Description: partial 16S ribosomal RNA
Rfam family: Bacterial small subunit ribosomal RNA
Source: RNAcentral
GUUUUCCACGGGAGGCAGCAGUGGGGGAUAUUGCACAAUGGGGGAAACCCUGAUGCAGCGACGCCGCGUGGGCGAAGAAGUAUUUCGGUAUGUAAAGCCCUAUCAGCAGGGAAGAAGAAAUGACGGUACCUGAGUAAGAAGCACCGGCUAAAUACGUGCCAGCAGCCGCGGUAAUACGUAUGGUGCAAGCGUUAUCCGGAUUUACUGGGUGUAAAGGAAGCGCAGGCGGCGCGUUAAGCCUGGUGUGAAAGCCCGCGGCCCAACCGCGGGACUGCAUUGGGAACUGGCGCGC